Molecule: ribosomal RNA, 253 nt
Filed under: uncultured bacterium
Lineage: Bacteria
Description: partial 16S ribosomal RNA
Rfam family: Bacterial small subunit ribosomal RNA
Source: RNAcentral
UACGGAGGGGGUUAGCGUUGUUCGGAAUUACUGGGCGUAAAGCGCGCGUAGGCGGACCAGAAAGUUGGGGGUGAAAUCCCGGGGCUCAACCCCGGAACGGCCUCCAAAACUCCUGGUCUUGAGUUCGAGAGAGGUGAGUGGAAUUCCGAGUGUAGAGGUGAAAUUCGUAGAUAUUCGGAGGAACACCAGUGGCGAAGGCGGCUCACUGGCACGAUACUGACGCUGAGGUGCGAAAGUGUGGGGAGCAAACAGG